Paramuricea clavata is the source of this 355-nucleotide non-coding RNA. The record is from the annotation of a GenBank genome assembly. NCBI's taxonomy places the organism in Eukaryota, Metazoa, Cnidaria, Anthozoa, Malacalcyonacea, Plexauridae.
AGGUUCGCCAGGUUACAAAAGUAGUUCCAAUACAUUUAUCUUCUCCUUCGUGAAUAAAGACAACCUCCCACCCUUCAAAUCUCCUGUCACACACCAGGGAUAUGCUAUAUACACUAGACCUGAAUAUGGUCCCACAUUUGGUGCUGGUCAUGAUAUUCAUAUUGCAAAUAAUGCCAAUGCAAAUACUGGUUCCUACACAAAUCCUGGCUAUUACUAUCAGGCACCAAGCGGGUAUUCCUACGGCUCAACCAAGGCGAGGAGUCUUCUUGCUGGCACAUAUUAUACAUUCACACCUGACGAGGUUGAAACAUUUUAUCUUAAUUAACUUUUGAUUAAUUUUGCAUUUAGAAACACA